CUCACUGACUGCUGCUGCCUGCGUCUCCUCCCAUGCACACACACGCCCAUACACUCACUCCACCUCCCGUCUCUCUUCCCCCUCACUCCCUCCUUCCCUCUCCCUUCUAUUCCCCCUCUGCCACACACACACACACACACACACACACACACACAUAUAAGGUAAGUAUUCUGUUCACAUAAGGACAUAAUGAAAGAAUACUGGUUGACUUUCAGCUUGCACAGCAACGGUGCCAGCCCCGUGAGUGUGGGCUCCAGCGCCCGUCCCACAGGGUUUAUGGGCUGGCAUGGGGCUCUGGAGUAGCGGAAGGAGGGCUGUGUGUGGGGUCAGGUGGGCCCUGUGCUCCACCUCUUCUGUCCUGAGGAGGUGGUGUGGAUUCCGUGUCCUGUGCUUCAAGUGGGGUGACAUUUUUCCUGGAAACCGGUGUGAGGACCAGAGAUCCCAGGGAACUGCAGACGUCGUCCUGCACACAGGGAGAUGGCAUCGCCUACCCACCUCCUGAGCUCCCUGGGGUUGGCUUCUCUGCUCUCCCUGCCAGUCAGUCCACAGGAGGAGGACAGGAGAGGCUGCAGUUUCCCUCCAGGCAGGACUGGCAGCACACUCCUGGCCUGGGGAGGAGGCAGAUGCUCCGUGUCAACGCUGGACCCUGACGUGCCCUGGCCACUUCCAUCCAUUCUUACUCAGUAUCCCCAGCUGGAGUGAGCCCCGUUUCCAGUCCCCAAGCCUUUGCCUGGCCCAUUUGGGAUUGUGUCUUGGGCGUAGCUUGUCCUUAAGGUUUUGUCUCACUUGUAGGCAUGAGAUCUUGGAAAAUAAUAGCCACGACCCCAUUCCCUCUGACUGUAGAAAACACUGAUGGCAUUAAACAAAUAUCCAUUGCCUUUCGAUGUAACUUCCAUGCAGACGCCCUGGGGUGAGCCUCCGACAUCUACUGACUGUGUGGGCUUGGGGGAGUCCUUUCCCAUCCUCCCCAUUGUCCCCCUAGGAUGAAGGUGCUGGAGGGGGACCUUUGGGUCCCUGGCACUUUCUGAGAGCUUGCAGGACUUGGGAAUUAAAGGCACACCGUGUUUGAAGUGUAUAGACUCUGACCAAAGGAGCUAACGAAGGGCCUUCCUCCAAUUUUACAGUGCAUUUUAAUUAGUUGUGUGCAUGUGAAAUUUCACGUCAACGGCUGCAGCAUGACAACACUGCUUCUGAGUACAGAGGCCUGACUUCUGAGAAAUCAGCGCAGGCUGGAACCAGUCACAUGGCCUUUCCUGACCACAAAUCCCCAUGUGCACACCCAAGCCCAAGAGGAGUUUGGGUUAGUUUUGUCAUCAGACAACUCCCAGGGUCUGUUUCAUCCCAACGUCCAGCCUGCCCAGGCGUGGAAGGAGAGACCAUAGUGUGCACUGGCUGCUCUGAGUCUGCUCAGAAAGUGGAUUGCUAAUUGUUUGAUUUUUCU
RNAcentral lists this long non-coding RNA (1441 nucleotides) under Marmota monax (woodchuck). Lineage: Eukaryota; Metazoa; Chordata; Mammalia; Rodentia; Sciuridae. The record is from RNAcentral.